Molecule: ribosomal RNA, 497 nt
Filed under: uncultured bacterium
Lineage: Bacteria
Description: partial 16S ribosomal RNA
Rfam family: Bacterial small subunit ribosomal RNA
Source: RNAcentral
GAUGAACGCUGGCGGCGUGCCUAAUACAUGCAAGUCGAGCGAACAGACGAGGAGCUUGCUCCUCUGACGUUAGCGGCGGACGGGUGAGUAACACGUGGAUAACCUACCUAUAAGACUGGGAUAACUUCGGGAAACCGGAGCUAAUACCGGAUAAUAUAUUGAACCGCAUGGUUCAAUAGUGAAAGACGGUUUUGCUGUCACUUAUAGAUGUAUCCGCGCCGCAUUAGCUAGUUGGUAAGGUAACGGCUUACCAAGGCAACGAUGCGUAGCCGACCUGAGAGGGUGAUCGGCCACACUGGAACUGAGACACGGUCCAGACUCCUACGGGAGGCAGCAGUAGGGAAUCUUCCGCAAUGGGCGAAAGCCUGACGGAGCAACGCCGCGUGAGUGAUGAAGGUCUUCGGAUCGUAAAACUCUGUUAUUAGGGAAGAACAAAUGUGUAAGUAACUAUGCACGUCUUGACGGUACAUAAUCAGAAAGCCACGGCUAACUACGUG